AGCAGCCGCGGUAAUUCCAGCUCCAAUAGCGUAUAUUAAAGUUGUUGCAGUUAAAAAGCUCGUAGUUGAAUUUCGGGAUUAGUACGCUGGUCGUGCCUUCGGUAUGUACUGGUGUUACUGGUUCCUACCUUCUGACGAACCGUCAUGUCAUUAAUUUGGUGUGGCGGGGAAUCAGGACUGUUACUUUGAAAAAAUUAGAGUGUUUAAAGCAGGCUCGCGCUUGAAUACAUUAGCAUGGGAUAAUGAAAUAGGACGUUCGAUCCUAUUUUGUUGGUUUCUAGGAUUGACGUAAUGAUUAAUAGGGAUAGUUGGGGGCAUUAGUAUUCAAUUGUCAGAGGUGAAAUUCUUGGAUUUAUUGAAGACUAACUACUGCGAAAGCAUUUGCCAAGGAUGUUUUCAUUAAUCAAGAACGAAAGUUAGGGGAUCGAAGACGAUCAGAUACCGUCGUAGUCUUAACCAUAAACUAUGCCGACUAGGGAUCGGAUGAUGUUAUUUUUAAUGACUCAUUCGGCGCCUUACG
This 520-nucleotide ribosomal RNA is filed under the name uncultured Glomus. RNAcentral's name for it is "SSU rRNA". It matches the Rfam family "Eukaryotic small subunit ribosomal RNA", at positions 569 to 1092 of the family's 1831-position model. The record is from RNAcentral. Lineage: Eukaryota; Fungi; Glomeromycota; Glomeromycetes; Glomerales; Glomeraceae.